This 465-nucleotide ribosomal RNA is filed under the name uncultured bacterium. RNAcentral's name for it is "partial 16S ribosomal RNA". It matches the Rfam family "Bacterial small subunit ribosomal RNA", at positions 28 to 507 of the family's 1533-position model. The record is from RNAcentral.
GACGAACGCUGGCGGCGUGCUUAACACAUGCAAGUCGAACGGAAAGGCCCUGCUUGCAGGGUACUCGAGUGGCGAACGGGUGAGUAACACGUGGGUGAUCUGCCCUGCACUUCGGGAUAAGCUUGGGAAACUGGGUCUAAUACCGGAUAGGACUGCACUUUAGUGUGUGUGGUGGAAAGUUUUUUCGGUGUAGGAUGAGCUCGCGGCCUAUCAGCUUGUUGGUGGGGUAAUGGCCUACCAAGGCGGCGACGGGUAGCCGGCCUGAGAGGGUGUACGGCCACAUUGGGACUGAGAUACGGCCCAGACUCCUACGGGAGGCAGCAGUGGGGAAUAUUGCACAAUGGGCGCAAGCCUGAUGCAGCGACGCCGCGUGGGGGAUGAAGGCCUUCGGGUUGUAAACCCCUUUCGCUAGGGACGAAGCUUUUUGUGACGGUACCUAGAUAAGAAGCACCGGCUAACUACGUG